This 460-nucleotide ribosomal RNA is filed under the name uncultured bacterium. RNAcentral describes it as "partial 16S ribosomal RNA". It matches the Rfam family "Bacterial small subunit ribosomal RNA", at positions 338 to 795 of the family's 1533-position model. The record is from RNAcentral.
CCUACGGGGUGCAGCAGUGAGGAAUAUUGGUCAAUGGGCGGGAGCCUGAACCAGCCAAGUCGCGUGAGGGAAGACGGUCCUAUGGAUUGUAAACCUCUUUAGGCGGGGAGCAAUGCCGGGCACGCGUGCCCGGAGGGAGAGUACCCGCAGAAUAAGCAUCGGCAAACUCCGUGCCAGCAGCCGCGGUAAUACGGGGGUUGCGAGCGUUACCCGGAUUUAUUGGGUUAAAGGGGUGCGUAGGCGGAUUUUUAAGUCAGCGGUAAAUGGUCGGGGCUCAACCCGGGCCGGCCGUUGAAACUGGGGAUCUUGAGUGGGCGAGAGGUAUGCGGAAUGCGUGGUGUAGCGGUGAAAUGCAUAGAUAUCACGCAGAACACCGGUUGCGAAGGCAGCAUACCGGCGCCCGACUGACGCUGAGGCACGAAAGCGUGGGGAUCGAACAGGAUUAGAUACCCUGGUAGUC